RNAcentral lists this ribosomal RNA (1405 nucleotides) under Limosilactobacillus fermentum. RNAcentral's name for it is "bacterial SSU rRNA". It matches the Rfam family "Bacterial small subunit ribosomal RNA". The record is from RNAcentral. Lineage: Bacteria; Bacillati; Bacillota; Bacilli; Lactobacillales; Lactobacillaceae.
AAUUGAUUGAUGGUGCUUGCACCUGAUUGAUUUUGGUCGCCAACGAGUGGCGGACGGGUGAGUAACACGUAGGUAACCUGCCCAGAAGCGGGGGACAACAUUUGGAAACAGAUGCUAAUACCGCAUAACAGCGUUGUUCGCAUGAACAACGCUUAAAAGAUGGCUUCUCGCUAUCACUUCUGGAUGGACCUGCGGUGCAUUAGCUUGUUGGUGGGGUAACGGCCUACCAAGGCGAUGAUGCAUAGCCGAGUUGAGAGACUGAUCGGCCACAAUGGGACUGAGACACGGCCCAUACUCCUACGGGAGGCAGCAGUAGGGAAUCUUCCACAAUGGGCGCAAGCCUGAUGGAGCAACACCGCGUGAGUGAAGAAGGGUUUCGGCUCGUAAAGCUCUGUUGUUAAAGAAGAACACGUAUGAGAGUAACUGUUCAUACGUUGACGGUAUUUAACCAGAAAGUCACGGCUAACUACGUGCCAGCAGCCGCGGUAAUACGUAGGUGGCAAGCGUUAUCCGGAUUUAUUGGGCGUAAAGAGAGUGCAGGCGGUUUUCUAAGUCUGAUGUGAAAGCCUUCGGCUUAACCGGAGAAGUGCAUCGGAAACUGGAUAACUUGAGUGCAGAAGAGGGUAGUGGAACUCCAUGUGUAGCGGUGGAAUGCGUAGAUAUAUGGAAGAACACCAGUGGCGAAGGCGGCUACCUGGUCUGCAACUGACGCUGAGACUCGAAAGCAUGGGUAGCGAACAGGAUUAGAUACCCUGGUAGUCCAUGCCGUAAACGAUGAGUGCUAGGUGUUGGAGGGUUUCCGCCCUUCAGUGCCGGAGCUAACGCAUUAAGCACUCCGCCUGGGGAGUACGACCGCAAGGUUGAAACUCAAAGGAAUUGACGGGGGCCCGCACAAGCGGUGGAGCAUGUGGUUUAAUUCGAAGCUACGCGAAGAACCUUACCAGGUCUUGACAUCUUGCGCCAACCCUAGAGAUAGGGCGUUUCCUUCGGGAACGCAAUGACAGGUGGUGCAUGGUCGUCGUCAGCUCGUGUCGUGAGAUGUUGGGUUAAGUCCCGCAACGAGCGCAACCCUUGUUACUAGUUGCCAGCAUUAAGUUGGGCACUCUAGUGAGACUGCCGGUGACAAACCGGAGGAAGGUGGGGACGACGUCAGAUCAUCAUGCCCCUUAUGACCUGGGCUACACACGUGCUACAAUGGACGGUACAACGAGUCGCGAACUCGCGAGGGCAAGCAAAUCUCUUAAAACCGUUCUCAGUUCGGACUGCAGGCUGCAACUCGCCUGCACGAAGUCGGAAUCGCUAGUAAUCGCGGAUCAGCAUGCCGCGGUGAAUACGUUCCCGGGCCUUGUACACACCGCCCGUCACACCAUGAGAGUUUGUAACACCCAAAGUCGGUGGGGUAACC